GGACGAACGCUGGCGGCGUGCUUAACACAUGCAAGUCGAACGCUGAAGCUUGGUGCUUGCACUGGGUGGAUGAGUGGCGAACGGGUGAGUAAUACGUGAGUAACCUGCCCUUGACUCUGGGAUAAGCCUGGGAAACUGGGUCUAAUACUGGAUAYGACAUGUCACCGCAUGGUGGUGUGUGGAAAGGGUUYUACUGGUUUUGGAUGGGCUCACGGCCUAUCAGCUUGUUGGUGGGGUAAUGGCUCACCAAGGCGACGACGGGUAGCCGGCCUGAGAGGGUGACCGGCCACACUGGGACUGAGACACGGCCCAGACUCCUACGGGAGGCAGCAGUGGGGAAUAUUGCACAAUGGGCGRAAGCCUGAUGCAGCGACGCCGCGUGAGGGAUGACGGCCUUCGGGUUGUAAACCUCUUUCAGCACGGAAGAAGCGAAAGUGACGGUACGUGCAGAAGAAGCGCCGGCUAACUACGU
Molecule: ribosomal RNA, 472 nt
Filed under: Kocuria sp. IIUP.PS-7
Lineage: Bacteria; Bacillati; Actinomycetota; Actinomycetes; Micrococcales; Micrococcaceae
Description: bacterial SSU rRNA
Rfam family: Bacterial small subunit ribosomal RNA
Source: RNAcentral